RNAcentral lists this ribosomal RNA (497 nucleotides) under uncultured bacterium. Its description in RNAcentral is "partial 16S ribosomal RNA". It matches the Rfam family "Bacterial small subunit ribosomal RNA", at positions 28 to 507 of the family's 1533-position model. The record is from RNAcentral.
GAUGAACGCUGGCGGCGUGCCUAAUACAUGCAAGUCGAGCGAACGGACGAGAAGCUUGCUUCUCUGAUGUUAGCGGCGGACGGGUGAGUAACACGUGGAUAACCUACCUAUAAGACUGGGAUAACUUCGGGAAACCGGAGCUAAUACCGGAUAAUCUUUUGAACCGCAUGGUUCAAAAGUGAAAGACGGUCUUGCUGUCACUUAUAGAUGGAUCCGCGCUGCAUUAGCUAGUUGGUAAGGUAACGGCUUACCAAGGCAACGAUGCAUAGCCGACCUGAGAGGGUGAUCGGCCACACUGGAACUGAGACACGGUCCAGACUCCUACGGGAGGCAGCAGUAGGGAAUCUGCCGCAAUGGGCGAAAGCCUGACGGAGCAACGCCGCGUGAGUGAUGAAGGUCUUCGGAUCGUAAAACUCUGUUAUUAGGGAAGAACAUAUGUGUAAGUAACUGUGCACAUCUUGACGGUACCUAAUCAGAAAGCCACGGCUAACUACGUG